Long non-coding RNA from Micropterus dolomieu (smallmouth bass), 739 nucleotides. RefSeq lists it as uncharacterized. The record is from RefSeq and is a predicted model, not a curated record. Lineage: Eukaryota; Metazoa; Chordata; Actinopteri; Centrarchiformes; Centrarchidae. The transcript has 4 exons.
CAAGGUGCCGGAGCUGAACCACGUGGCCUGAAAGUAUUGAGGCGGUCAUAAAUCUGAAACGCCAGGGAGGCAUGUUUCAGUCUAUGCAGGAAAGGGUCAGGAAACAUUCAGCACCAUGUUCAUCAUGACAGGACUGCAGAUGGCAUACAGAGUUUGGCUCAAAUCCAGAGCUAAUUAGUAGGAUGUGAUUUUUACCAAAGCAUAAGCAGGAAGCUGACAUCUGCUGCAUAGUCUUCAUGGUUUCAAUCACUUUAUGAUCAGAAUGUAUUGCUGACAAGUUGUCUGCACAGUACCUGCAGGCUGCAUCUCUUCAACGACAGGAAAUCACUGCUCACCGGCAUCAGCGUCGCCAGGAAGUCCCUGAUCACAUUCACACCUGGAAGCUGCCCAGUACAACCACAGCCUGAUCUGCUGCUGUUGGGGUUAUGGGCCUUGCUCAAGGGCACCUCACUGGUGGUAAAUAAUGGAGGUGUGCGGGUGUGCUGGAGCUGAUGCUGGUAUCCAUUAUAGUGCACAACAUGGAUGGAUCAGGGUCUACAGAGUUGCAUGGUGCAGAACAACAGCCUCUUAGCAGAGUUACCAGAGACCCCAGGCAGUAAGGAAGUCACAACCGACCAGCCUGUGACCAACAGCAGCAGAACAGUCCUUAGCCUGUUUGUUUGGCUUCGCCACACAUAAGGAAGGAAAGUUGAGCACACCUAUCCACGGCCAGCCUAUACCCCUAUACCCAACUGACAGA